Molecule: ribosomal RNA, 497 nt
Filed under: uncultured bacterium
Lineage: Bacteria
Description: partial 16S ribosomal RNA
Rfam family: Bacterial small subunit ribosomal RNA
Source: RNAcentral
GAUGAACGCUGGCGGCGUGCCUAAUACAUGCAAGUCGAGCGCACAGACGAGACGCUUGCUCCCUUCACGUUAGCGGCGGACGGGCGAGUAACACGUGGAUACCCUACUUAUCUGCCUGGGAUAACUUCGGGACACCGGAGCUAAUACCGUAUUAUAUCUUGAAACUCAUGAUUCCAUAGUGAUUGAUGGUUUUGCUCAAUUUCAUAGCUGCCUCCGCGUCGCAUUAGCUAGUUGGUAAGGUAACGGCUUACCGAGGGAACGAUGCGUAGCAGACCUGCGAGGGUGUUCGGCCACACUGGAACGGAGACACGGUCCAAACUCCAACGGGAGGAGGCGGUAGGGAACCUUCGGCAAGGGGCGAAGUCCUGACGAAGCAACGCCGGGUGGUGAAGGAGGGUCUUCGGUUCUUAAAACUCGGUGAUUAGGAAAGAACAGUUGUGGAAGGAAAAGUGCACGUCUUGACGGUACCUAAUCAGAAAGCCACGGCUAACUACGUG